Molecule: ribosomal RNA, 318 nt
Filed under: Hemichromis elongatus
Lineage: Eukaryota; Metazoa; Chordata; Actinopteri; Cichliformes; Cichlidae
Description: partial large subunit ribosomal RNA
Rfam family: Bacterial large subunit ribosomal RNA
Source: RNAcentral
UAGACACCAGAGCAGAUCAUGUUAAACACCCCUCCACAAAGGACAAAACUAAUUGCCCCCUGCUCCAAUGUCUUUGGUUGGGGCGACCGCGGGGAAACAAAAAACCCCCAUGUGGACCAGGGGCACACGCCCCCACAACCCAGACUGACAACUCCAAGUAACAGAACUUCUGACCAACAAGAUCCGGCGUUAAGCCGAUCAACGAACCGAGUUACCCUAGGGAUAACAGCGCAAUCCUCUUUUAGAGCCCAUAUCGACAAGAGGGUUUACGACCUCGAUGUUGGAUCAGGACAUCCUAAUGGUGCAGCCGCUAUUAAG